Long non-coding RNA from Bombyx mori (domestic silkworm), 427 nucleotides. RefSeq lists it as uncharacterized. Lineage: Eukaryota; Metazoa; Arthropoda; Insecta; Lepidoptera; Bombycidae. The record is from RefSeq and is a predicted model, not a curated record. The transcript is spliced from 2 exons.
UUUUAUAUAUGAGUCGUCUAUUAUCAAAGGUGGCAAUCUGUGCAUUUGGACAAAAAAAAUGUUAUUGAUAUGUCAAUACAGAUUGAUUUGAAUAUAAUCGUCUCCUUCAAAGAAUACGGUUAAAAACCUGCAUUAAAUAAAGGUUAAUACAUAACCUGUUAUUUAUCUAAGAUGUCGUUCAGAAGAGUUUUGUGACUGCCAAUGGAAUACAAAUGAACAAUCACACAUGAUUAUAUCCCAAGAUGAACUACAGCGAACACUUUGAAUUUGGCGGCAAAGAUCCUAAUGAAAGAAAUAACCUGCGUCUUAUAUCACGUCUUUAAAAAAUUGGCGAAUAAAUGCUCUCACAGUUUGCAGUAAUGCAGCUACUAUGGUGUUACUAAUAGAAGCUAAUUUUUUGAAAAUAAAAUCACAAUUUUAAUUUUAA